AGAACGAACGCUGGCGGCAUGCCUAAUACAUGCAAGUCGAACGAACUCUUCGGAGUUAGUGGCGCACGGGUGCGUAACGCGUGGGAAUCUGCCCCUUGGUUCGGAAUAACAGUUGGAAACGACUGCUAAUACCGGAUGAUGACGAAAGUCCAAAGAUUUAUCGCCAAGGGAUGAGCCCGCGUAGGAUUAGCUAGUUGGUGAGGUAAAGGCUCACCAAGGCAACGAUCCUUAGCUGGUCUGAGAGGAUGAUCAGCACA
RNAcentral lists this ribosomal RNA (257 nucleotides) under uncultured soil bacterium. RNAcentral's name for it is "partial 16S ribosomal RNA". It matches the Rfam family "Bacterial small subunit ribosomal RNA", at positions 26 to 312 of the family's 1533-position model. The record is from RNAcentral.